UUGGGCCUACGGGGCGCAGCAGUGGGGAAUAUUGCACAAUGGGGGAAACCCUGAUGCAGCGACGCCGCGUGAGUGAAGAAGGCGCCAAGCGUCGUAAACUUCUUUUGUCGGGGAACAAAGGGCGCCACGUGUGGCGUUGUGAGUGUACCCGAAGAAAAAGCAUCGGCUAACUCCGUGCCAGCAGCCGCGGUAAUACGGAGGAUGCGAGCGUUAUCCGGAUUUAUUGGGUUUAAAGGGUGCGCAGGCGGGA
This 250-nucleotide ribosomal RNA is filed under the name uncultured bacterium. RNAcentral describes it as "partial 16S ribosomal RNA". It matches the Rfam family "Bacterial small subunit ribosomal RNA", at positions 333 to 580 of the family's 1533-position model. The record is from RNAcentral.